RNAcentral lists this ribosomal RNA (497 nucleotides) under uncultured bacterium. RNAcentral's name for it is "partial 16S ribosomal RNA". It matches the Rfam family "Bacterial small subunit ribosomal RNA", at positions 28 to 507 of the family's 1533-position model. The record is from RNAcentral.
GAUGAACGCUGGCGGCGUGCCUAAUACAUGCCAGUCGAGCGAACAGACGAGGAGCUUGCUCCUCUGACGUUAGCGGCGGACGGGUGAGUAACACGUGGAUAACCUACCUAUAAGACUGGGAUAACUUCGGGAAACCGGAGCUAAUACCGGAUAAUAUAUUGAACCGCAUGGUUCAAUAGUGAAAGACGGUUUUGCUGUCACUUAUAGAUGGAUCCGCGCCGCAUUAGCUAGUUGGUAAGGUAACGGCUUACCAAGGCAACGAUGCGUAGCCGACCUGAGAGGGUGAUCGGCCACACUGGAACUGAGACACGGUCCAGAUUCCUACGGGAGGCAGCAGUAGGGAAUCUUACGCAAUGGGCGAAAGCCUGACGGAGCAACGCCGCGUGAGUGAUGAAGGUCUUCGGAUCGUAAAACUCUGUUAUUAGGGAAGAACAAAUGUGUAAGUAACUAUGCACGUCUUGACGGUACCUAAUCAGAAAGCCACGGCUAACUACGUG